This 253-nucleotide ribosomal RNA is filed under the name uncultured bacterium. Its description in RNAcentral is "partial 16S ribosomal RNA". It matches the Rfam family "Bacterial small subunit ribosomal RNA", at positions 524 to 776 of the family's 1533-position model. The record is from RNAcentral.
UACAGAGGGGGCAAGCGUUGUUCGGAAUUACUGGGCGUAAAGGGCGCGUAGGCGGCCUGUUAAGUCGAACGUGAAAUCCCCGGGCUCAACCCGGGAACUGCGUCCGAAACUGGCAGGCUUGAAUUCGGGAGAGGGAUGCGGAAUUCCAGGUGUAGCGGUGAAAUGCGCAGAUAUCAGGAGGAACACCGGUGGCGAAGGCGGGUCUCUGGGCCGAUACUGACGCUGAGGAGCGAAAGCGUGGGGAGCGAACAGG